UACGUAGGGUGCAAGCGUUAAUCGGAAUUACUGGGCGUAAAGCGUGCGCAGGCGGUCCGUUAAGACAGAUGUGAAAUGCCCGGGCUUAACCUGGGAACUGCAUUUGUGACUGCAUGGCUAGAGUUUGGCAGAGGGGGGUAGAAUUCCACGUGUAGCAGUGAAAUGCGUAGAUAUGUGGAGGAACACCGAUGGCGAAGGCAGCCCCCUGGGUCAAGACUGACGCUCAUGCACGAAAGCGUGGGGAGCAAACAGG
This 253-nucleotide ribosomal RNA is filed under the name uncultured bacterium. Its description in RNAcentral is "partial 16S ribosomal RNA". It matches the Rfam family "Bacterial small subunit ribosomal RNA", at positions 524 to 776 of the family's 1533-position model. The record is from RNAcentral.